GGCAAUUCUGAAUUCCCCAAGCCCAUCCGCUGGUCUGUGUUGCUCAUCCAAAGCAGCCAUGCCCUGCUUCCUGCCACCCUGUCUGAUAACCAUGGUUAUAGAGAAAACCAGAAGACCAGAAUUCUGUAUUUCUCUGAUUUAAUACACAAUAUUGAAGAAGUAACUUCACCUUUAUGUGCUUCUAUUUCCCUCCUCAGCCUUUAUCUAAACUGCUUGAUUAUAUUACUAGCUCUUUAAAACUAUUCACGCACUGUCUUCACAAAACAACGUCUUAUUCUUUAUUACCUUCCACAAAAAGUCAAGAAUGUAAAAGAGGAGAGGAUUAGUAGAAGGCCUGCCGAGGUCAGAGAGAUAAAAAACCAACAACGACAAAAAAAACCAACAACGACAAAAAAAACCAACAACGACAAAAAAAACCAACAACGACAAAAAAAACCAACAACGACAAAAAAAACCAACAACGACAAAAAAAACCAACAACGACAAAAAAAACCAACAACGACAAAAAAAACCAACAACGACAAAAAAAACCAACGAAAAAACCCCCACAACUUUUAAUCUAAGUUUACCUCCUCCUCAUAACUGACAAUGGCUUCUGAAAUCUUGGAAAUACCUGAAAUAAUGCAAAAGUUAACUCUGACACUGGAGUUAUGAAAUAAAGUAAAAAUGAACCCAAAUUCAGAUGGGUUUUCAGAUCAAUUUUGACCUAUACCUUGAACAUAUCUGCCAUCCUGUAUCUUGAAACCCUGUUAUCCUCUAUACUUACUAUAACUUCAGAAAGACCAUAUUUCUAGAUGCCAACAUCAGCAAUUUAAGCCUUUGAAACUCUUUCAUUUUGGGGAAGAAUAAGGUACCUGCUUGAGGGCUGUUCCAAUACAAGCCUCGCAACCUUUUUAUGUAAAUCUGCAGACUUCCUAGAGUUAGUUCAUUGUUAAAUCCAAAGGUGGUGUUUAGAGCACUUGCUAGUUACGUGAUCUCUAUAUAACAUUGCCCGAUUUAUUUUUAUUUCACAAAACAUAAAUACUCUGCCUCUAGUGCAAGACCCUUAAUAUAACUAGCACUGUAGGAAUCUCGAUUAACCUAACGGAAGGAUACAUAUAAUAAAAACCUUAAUUUAA
This is a long non-coding RNA of Apus apus (common swift), 1118 nucleotides long. RefSeq lists it as uncharacterized. The transcript is spliced from 2 exons. The record is from RefSeq and is a predicted model, not a curated record. NCBI's taxonomy places the organism in Eukaryota, Metazoa, Chordata, Aves, Apodiformes, Apodidae.